Molecule: long non-coding RNA, 277 nt
Organism: Pezoporus occidentalis (night parrot)
Lineage: Eukaryota; Metazoa; Chordata; Aves; Psittaciformes; Psittacidae
Exons: 3
Source: RefSeq, a predicted model, not a curated record
CAGAACUGAUGGAGCCGAGGCUCAAGAGGAAACUUUCCAUUGCUUCAGAAGUUAAAAGCAAAUCUCAAGAAUGGGGUGUCUGGAUGUAGAGCACAUGUGAACUCUUACUGUAACACUUUCAAAUACUCCUCCUACUGGUCUCCUCUAGAUAAGGCUGAACUGAGAAUACUAAGUGAUACAUUGUAGUUUACCAGGCAUACCAUUUUCACAUCAAGAUUUUUAGUAGCUGUGAAAGUGAAAAUUACUCCAACAGCAAGUGGAAGCAUGAGAUAAAAGU